Molecule: ribosomal RNA, 446 nt
Filed under: uncultured bacterium
Lineage: Bacteria
Description: partial 16S ribosomal RNA
Rfam family: Bacterial small subunit ribosomal RNA
Source: RNAcentral
CCUACGGGUGGCAGCAGUCGAGAAUUAUUCACAAUGGGGGAAACCCUGAUGGUGCGACGCCGCGUGGGGGAAUGAAGGUCUUCGGAUUGUAAACCCCUGUCAUGUGGGAGCAAAUUAAAAAGAUAGUACCACAAGAGGAAGAGACGGCUAACUCUGUGCCAGCAGCCGCGGUAAUACAGAGGUCUCAAGCGUUGUUCGGAAUCACUGGGCGUAAAGCGUGCGUAGGCUGUUUCGUAAGUCGUGUGUGAAAGGGGCGGGCUCAACCCGCGGACGGCACAUGAUACUGCGAGACUAGAGUAAUGGAGGGGGAACCGGAAUUCGCGGUGAAGCAGUGAAAUGCGUAGAUAUCGAGAGGAACACUCGUGGCGAAGGCGGGUUCCUGGACAUUAACUGACGCUGAGGCACGAAGGCCAGGGGAGCGAAAGGGAUUAGAUACCCCAGUAGUC